Molecule: long non-coding RNA, 696 nt
Filed under: Homo sapiens (human)
Lineage: Eukaryota; Metazoa; Chordata; Mammalia; Primates; Hominidae
Description: non-protein coding lnc-FYB2-5:1
Source: RNAcentral
AGACCAGAGGAACAGCCUCAAGUUCAGUCGGACCUUUCUAAGGAGGUUUUGUUGGAAUUCCACAAGACCCUAGUUCUGAAGGUAGGACAAAGAAGGAGAAGAGAACUGCACUGACAGACUAUACCUGCAGGCCCGCUUCACUUGGCGAGGAGCCCGCCUGCUCCGGCCCCUCCUGCAGUUCACCUUGAUCAUGAUGGCCUUCUACACGGGACUGUCUCGCGUAUCAGACCACAAGCACCAUCCCAGUGAUGUUCUGGCAGGAUUUGCUCAAGGAGCCCUGGUGGCCUGCUGCAUAGUUUUCUUCGUGUCUGACCUCUUCAAGACUAAGACGACGCUCUCCCUGCCUGCCCCUGCUAUCCGGAAGGAAAUCCUUUCACCUGUGGACAUUAUUGACAGGAACAAUCACCACAACAUGAUGUAGGUGCCACCCACCUCCUGAGCUGUUUUUGUAAAAUGACUGCUGACAGCAAGUUCUUGCUGCUCUCCAAUCUCAUCAGACAGUAGAAUGUAGGGAAAAACUUUUGCCCGACUGAUUUUUAAAAAGGAAAAAAAAAAUGUUUUACUAUGUGGCCUUCCAAAAUAGGUAGUGUUUGCCUAUGUGGAAACAACAGCAAACUAACACCAAGUGCCAGAGUCCUGGAUGUGCAAUUGGUUUAAGUGUUCAUGUUCUAGUGAACACAGCUUGUUCAGGAACAA